GUUAGACAAAAGGAAUUAAAAGAAAAGGAUCAAGACUUACUACAACAUACUGAUGUUAUUUCUUAUAUUAUACUUG
Molecule: long non-coding RNA, 76 nt
Organism: Amphimedon queenslandica
Lineage: Eukaryota; Metazoa; Porifera; Demospongiae; Haplosclerida; Niphatidae
Exons: 3
Source: RefSeq, a predicted model, not a curated record